GUAGCACCAUGGUCUUGGAGGAACGUUGUCUCGUUUCACUGUGUGCUGUACCACUGCACAUGGUUGGAAUGACAAUAAAGCCACUUGACUUCACUGGACUUAACUCAUGCCUCGACUGGACUUUUAUACAAAUACAGAGGUGCAAUGAAAACAUAAAAAUUGUUAUACAACAAUUCAUGCCUCGACUGGAUGUUGAUAUCAAUACGGAAGUGCAAUGAAAAAACAAAAAUUGUUAUACAUAUAUGUAUUUUCUAACUUGAAACUUUACAACUUUUAUAGUUAGGAGAUUUAAAAUUCAUAAAGAGAUUGAUUUCCAAUAAUUUCUUAGUUCCAUACCGAUUGAUCACGACAGAAUUACUUUAGCCAAAUUAGAAAAACAUUUUUUAAAUGACAACCAAUGUGCAUGCCUUAAUUUUUUUGGGAUCGCGAGUGAUCAACCAGACUCAUCAUUCACCCCCAGUACAGAUUCCAAUGUACCAAAUCCCUUCUUUGCUAUCCAAUCGAGCCCCACGUUGGUGCGCCAGUUUAUACACACACACACACACACACACACACACACACACACACACACACAUAUAUUUUACAUAUAGUGCUCAGCACAAAUGAGUACAACCCCUUUAAAAAGUACAAAUUUAAUCAGUAGCUCAAAGAACAAAAGAACAAUUUCCAAAAUUUUCACAAGGUUUUAUUGAACACUUGUUUAACUCCAUAACAUGAAAUUAAGGUUAAUAAUAUAACUUAGAUCACAAAAUCUUCAGUUUUACUCAAAUUGGUUGAAGCAAAAAAUGAAUACACCCCGCAACAAAAACGACUACAUCUAGUAUUUUGUAUGACCACCAUGAUUUUCAAGGACAGCACCAAGUCUUCUAGGCAUGGUAUGAACAGAGAAUAACCUCUUUUAGAGCCUGGAUGCUAGAUGGAGAGUGAUGCUCAACUUGUCGCUUCAGAAUUCCCCACAGGUGUUCGAUUUGGUUCAGAUCAGGAGACAUUCUUGGCCAUUCAAUCACCUUCACCCUGUUCUUCUUCAGAAAUGCAACACUAGCUUUAGAUGUGUGUUUUGGAUCAUUGUCGUGUUGGAAAAGUGCACGACGACCAAGUGCACGGAGUGAUGGCAGCAUCUUCUCCUUCAGUAUAGAGCAGC
RNAcentral lists this long non-coding RNA (1141 nucleotides) under Oreochromis niloticus (Nile tilapia). RNAcentral describes it as "lncRNA (ENSONIG00000028797.1)". Lineage: Eukaryota; Metazoa; Chordata; Actinopteri; Cichliformes; Cichlidae. The record is from RNAcentral.